RNAcentral lists this long non-coding RNA (1425 nucleotides) under Helianthus annuus (common sunflower). RNAcentral describes it as "hypothetical non coding rna". Lineage: Eukaryota; Viridiplantae; Streptophyta; Magnoliopsida; Asterales; Asteraceae. The record is from RNAcentral.
UUCACAACACCAAACAACUCUCCUCUCUCCCUCUAGAAAGCUCACGGCCAAACAUCCCUAAUCACCCAUCAAUUUUUCGAGCCUUGUUCAAGCCAUUCCAAGCAUACCCAAGCAUCAAGGAUCACGUAUUAGGAGGCUUGGUGCACUCGGAGCACGAAGGACCUUUUUCUCUAGCUUUUAUCCACCACAUUCGCGUCUAGAUUCUUCCCUAGCCUCGAGCUAGUGGUUACGACGUUAAAUAAGCAAACCCGGUGAAGUUUACGACGCACAGGAACGCAAAGUUGUAACUAGGAUGGAUGUGCGCGUGGUCUCUCUUAUGCUCGUGGAUGUCGCUUGUGUUUGUCUUUAAAUAAAGUGUAAACCUUUUAAGACAAUGUUUUAUGUUAACUCGCAUUGUAAACGCUAACUUAUGAUUUCAAGUUAUGGUAUUUGAAGUUAUUUUCAUGAGCAUGUAGUAUGUUUACCUUUCGUAUGCAAUGAGAACCUUUCAUGAUCACACCUCGUGCUUCCGCCGCAGAGCAGAGUCUAAGGGGGAGUCUGAAGACAAGCUGGAAGUUAGGAGGAGCUUGUAGCUGGAAAGCUAGGUGUCGAUCCCUAAAAGACGGAAGCUUGACGAAAGGGGGAGCCUUAUGAUGAAGCUGUUGAUGAUAGAGCCAGUGAUGAGAUUAUAGUUUAAAAGUCAAAGAGAGAAGUUGAUCAAAGAGAAAGGUUGAAGGAUGCUUUCAAUGUUAUAAUCUGAGUGAGAAUGCAGAAUGAUCAAGACUGAAGAAGUGUCAUGAUAAAGAUUAGUCACUGAAGACUUCGUCAAUAUCCGAGGGGGAGUCUGUUAGUGCAUUACGUCUAUUGACUCCGUCUUGUAUCAUGUAAUAGGAUAGGUUAGGAUAAUCAGUGCACGAGGUUCGAGAAACAGAUGUUAGUAAAUUAGAGGUUGAUUUCGCCUGAAAUGGACCAAGGACAUUUGGAGCGAAAUCAGAACCUUCUGAUUUCACCCGAAAUGUCAGUGGUACAUUUGGAGCGAAAUCUGUCUUGUAUAAAUAGUGCAUAUGCUCAUUUCAUUUGGCACGGAAUUAGGAUUGUGUAACGAAGUGCUGCCAAACUGUUCUCAGGUUGUAAUCAGUGUUAAAUCAAUACAAGAGGCAUUAUAAUUAGUUUGAGCGUCCGUUUCAUUGAUUCCGCCUUUGAUUCGGAUAAAAGACUCUUCUGAUUGACUCAUUCGGGUCCAACAACGAUUCUACAAAGGAAAAAGAGCAAGAAAUGAAAAUGGAGAAACAAAUCCAGAAAGACAUGGAUUUUCUCGCGAAAGAUUUUUCAAAUAUAGCGGAGGAGGACCGAGUCAUUUUGAAAGCUCGUAACGCACAAAUUCAGGCGAAAUAUAUGUAGUUUUUUAUUUUCUAGUACCGUAUGUUUUCUUUAAUGACUUUGUAA